This 229-nucleotide ribosomal RNA is filed under the name uncultured bacterium. Its description in RNAcentral is "partial 16S ribosomal RNA". It matches the Rfam family "Bacterial small subunit ribosomal RNA", at positions 524 to 752 of the family's 1533-position model. The record is from RNAcentral.
GACGAAGGGGGCUAGCGUUGUUCGGAAUUACUGGGCGUAAAGCGAGUGUAGGUGGUUGUCCAAGUUGGAUGUGAAAGCCUUGAGCUCAACUCAAGAAAUGCAUUCAGGACUGGGCGACUAGAGGACCGGAGAGGAUAGUGGAAUUCCCAGUGUAGUGGUGAAAUACGUAGAGAUUGGGAAGAACACCAGUGGCGAAGGCGGCUAUCUGGACGGUUUCUGACACUAAGAC